Molecule: ribosomal RNA, 451 nt
Filed under: uncultured bacterium
Lineage: Bacteria
Description: partial 16S ribosomal RNA
Rfam family: Bacterial small subunit ribosomal RNA
Source: RNAcentral
AACGAACGCUGGCGGCAGGCUUAACACAUGCAAGUCGAACGGGUGCAGCAAUGCAUCAGUGGCAGACGGGUGAGUAACACGUGGGAACCUUCCUAAGGGUACGGAACAACUCAGGGAAACUUGAGCUAAUACCGUAUACGUCCGUGAGGAGAAAGAUUUAUCGCCCUUAGACGGGCCCGCGUCGGAUUAGCUAGUUGGUGGGGUAACGGCCUACAAAGGCGACGAUCCGUAGCUGAUCUUAGAGGAUGACCAGCCACACUGGGACUGAGACACGGCCCAGACUCCUACGGGAGGCAGCAGUGGGAAAUUUGGGACAAUGGGCGAAAGCCUGAUCAAGCCAUGCCGCGUGAGUGAAGAAGGUCUUCGGAUUGUAAAGCUCUUUUGCCAGGGACGAUAAUGCCGGUACCUGGAGAAUAAGCCCCGGCAAACUUCGUGCCAGCAGCCGCGGUAA